This 465-nucleotide ribosomal RNA is filed under the name Vreelandella stevensii. RNAcentral describes it as "partial 16S ribosomal RNA". It matches the Rfam family "Bacterial small subunit ribosomal RNA", at positions 338 to 795 of the family's 1533-position model. Lineage: Bacteria; Pseudomonadati; Pseudomonadota; Gammaproteobacteria; Oceanospirillales; Halomonadaceae. The record is from RNAcentral.
CCUACGGGGGGCUGCAGUGGGGAAUAGUGGACAAUGGGGGGAACCCUGAUCCAGCCAUGCCGCGUGUGUGAAGAAGGCCCUCGGGUUGUAAAGCACUUUCAGUGAGGAAGAACGCCUGGUGGUUAAUACCCAUCAGGAAAGACAUCACUCACAGAAGAAGCACCGGCUAACUCCGUGCCAGCAGCAGCGGUAAGACGGAGGGUGCGAGCGUUAAUCGGAAUUACUGGGCGUAAAGCGCGCGUAGGUGGCUUGAUAAGCCGGUUGUGAAAGCCCCGGGCUCAACCUGGGAACGGCAUCCGGAACUGUCAAGCUAGAGUGCAGGAGAGGAAGGUAGAAUUCCCGGUGUAGCGGUGAAAUGCGUAGAGAUCGGGAGGAAUACCAGUGGCGAAGGCGGCCUUCUGGACUGACACUGACACUGAGGUGCGAAAGCGUGGGUAGCAAACAGGAUUAGAUACCCGAGUAGUC